UUAGUGGAAUAACAAUUCAUUCUCUUUAUACCACUAUUAAUCUAAUAAUAAAAUAUUACUAAUUAAUUUAUUAUAUAUUAUUUUAUUAACCUAUUAGCUAGAUUAAUAAUUAGCCAACUUGAUUUAUUACUAUAAUAAAUAUUUAAUUAACUAUUUAGUAAAUUAGUUUAUUAUUCAUAUUAAUUAAUUAACUAAUUACAAAAUUAAUCAAUUAAUAUUCUGACCAAUAUAACUAAUUAAGUAAUUAACUAAUUAAUUUAUUAUAUUAAUAUACUAAAUUAUUAUAAUUUAUCAAAUUAUUUAUAGUUAGUUAAUAUAUUAAUUAACAAUACUCAUAGCUAAUUAAUUAAUAUCCUAAUUAAUUUAUUUUUUAAUGUUUAUGAUUAUCUAAUAGUAUUCAUGAUUAUCAAUUGAUUAAUUAAUUUGUUAAAUUAUUAUUUAAUUAAUAUUUUGAUGUUAAUUAGUUAUAUAAAAUAUUAUUAUUUUAAACCUAUAAUAACUCUUAUUCCUAUUAUUUCUAUCUAAGUAUCGCCAAAGUUAGCUCCAAAGUUAUACCUAUCUCAGAAAUAAUUAAAAAAAAUUAUUUUCGAAGGGUAUAUCUUUGAAAACUGAGGUACGUAGAAUUGGGUCCACACAAUAGUUUCCCAUGGUGAACAAUUCUCAUCAGGGACCACCACUAAACGACGGGGACAACUUUUUUAUAGGGAAUCUUCCAACAAAAUUUGUUCCAAGAGGUUCCCCAAAUUAUUCAUUUGAUAAUAUUGGAUGAUCUAGUGCCACAUAAGCAUCCAAUCUCAUAUCUCCAAAUAACUUAGUAAGGUCGUUAAAAUUUACUUUUCUUCGACUACAAGUGAGUUUGAAAUAAUCUUUUAACAUGCAUGUUAUGUAAAUAAAUUAAUAAAUCUAUUUAAGUAAUAAAAUAAAUUAAAAUACUUUUCACUCUACGGUGUACCUCGCAUGUAUACAUGUUAGCGCGCCACAAACUUCAAUAAAAUCUUACAAUUUAAUUCAACUAUCAAGUGUAAUCGAAAUAAUGGUAGAAUAAUUAUAAUAGAAACGUACACAAUUUUUUUUCAUGUAUGAAUUGGGACAGGGCAAGUAAAGUGCAAGAACAUUUUCUAUAAUUUUAGCUCGAAAAAAAAAAAGAAUGAUGACCCAAUUAUAAUACUGUCUAGAAAGAAAUGAUGAUAGAAUAAUACUAAGACGGGUAGGUCUGACCCAUCCAAGCUAAAGUAAUACUAAGAUCGGUAGGUCUGACCCACCCGAACUAAACUAAUACCAAAAAGAAAUUUUCUCCCUACACGUACAAAUCACUAGUCUAUAACAUUAUGUCAUUUUCUAAUUUAUAAAGCAAAAUAUACAAAGAUUAAUGAUGCUAUACAAGAUUGAUGAUGCUGUACGUACACAAACGUUUGCCAUCAUUGUUCGUUUUUAGGACUUUUUUUAUAAAUAGCCCCCGACAAAUUUUUUUUUAAAAAAUUAGCCCUAUCAAAAAUUUAUUUACAAAUAUGACCCUGUCCCUGCCACGCAAGCGCCACGUCAGCGCCACGCGGGCGGGUCUGGGGCCAGGUGUUUAAGUUGAACACGGUAAACCAUUCACCGUGUUCAAACACGGUGAAUGGUUCGCCAUGUCCAAUACGUAUAUCCGGAGUUAAAAUGGCUAAGUCCGGAUUUUUGUAUUGGACACGGUGAACCAUUCAUCAUGUCCAAUACAAAUACCUAAACUUUGCCAAGUCCGGGGUAUUUGUAUUGGACACGGUGAACUAUAUUGGACACGGUGAACCAUUCACCGUGUCCAAUACAAAUACCCCGGACUUAGCCAAAAAAUGGCUGAGUCUCGAAUAUACGCAUUGGACACGGCGAACCAUUCACCGUGUUUGAACACGGUGAAUGGUUCACCGUGUUCAACUUAAGCACCUGGCCCCAGCACCGCCCGCGUGGCACUGACGUGGCGCUUGCGUGGCAGGGCCAGGGCCAAGGCUAUUUUUGCAAAUAAAUUUUUGACAGGACUAAUUUAAAAAAAAAAAUUGUCAGGGGGCUAUUUGCAAAAAAAGCCCUCUUUUUUUAUCCUGUAAACACUUAUUUUAUAUAAUUUGAUAUUGCAUUUACACUUAUAUUAGGGUUGUAAAACAGGCCGGGCGGCCCGGCAUGACUCCGGGUCGGGCCGUGGCCCGGCAGGGCAACUAUAGCAUCCAUGCCGGGCCGGCCUGGCCCGGCUCUCCGGGCCAUGGUAGGCGAGUCCCCCAGGGCUCGUAGGCCCAGCAUGACACGGUCCGUUAUGGACCUAGGCCGUGCCGGGCCAGUAGUGCGGCUUGUAGCCCGAUCAGCGGGUCUUUGGGAGUUGGGGCCUUAGGACUUGAGGAGCAAGGCUCCAAAGGUGGAGAGAGACAAGAACCUAGGGCCCUAGGCCCUAGGCCCUUAUCGGAAGAUGGCUAUCUUUCGAAAAAAGCAAACCUUUUUAAAAAAAUUUAUAACUUUAUUAAACUUAAAAUUAUUUUAAAAAUUUAUUACUUUAUAAAUAUUUUAAGAAAAUUUAUUAUUAUUUUUUAUCUAACAUAUUAUGCAAAAGAGAAUUAUCUUAUUUUUAAAAAAAUUUUAAAUUAUUUUAAUAGUUUUAGUAAAUUUUAAAAUAUUAAAGGGCCGGCAUGAAGCCCUGACCGGCCUGCGCCAUCCAGGCCCGAGGCCCGGCACGCCCCACGUUACAUCCCUGAGUUAGUUACACUUCGCCAUCCAGGCCCGAGGAUCGGCUCCUUCGAUCUCAAGAUGAUCUCUAUUUCGCUUUUUCUUUUUUGAUCUUUUGGGGGAAUUUUAGCUGCAUUGUAGUUGUGAUACGACGAAGUGCCUAGCAUGCUUGAUUGUGCUUGCUGCCCUUGGUGAUAAUUGAUCGGAGGCUUUUAAGUGUUUUGGGGAAUUAGGGUCUAUUGGUUAAUUUGGUUUUUGUGGGUUGGUGGUGAAAAGAAUCUUAUUUGAAGGAUUUUAGUGGCUGGGAUGAGUUAAUAUGAAGAUCUGGGUUUACUCCCUUGCAGGGUCGAUACCGGGCGUUAAUUCAGACCAGAUGAAGCUUCAGAUCAAGUUAGGGGUUCCUCGAUCGACCCAGCAUUUGCUCGAUGUCGAGAGGGUGAAAUCCAUCUUUAUAAAUAAUUAUCUUUGUCGAGAGAAAAGUAGUUAGAUGCAUGAAACUGUAAAUACAAAUAUUUUGUUUGGUUAGACGUAGUUUGAAGCGAGGACUGCGACUAUAAAUAACUAGGUUAGUUGCAUGUAUUUACACAUUUUAUAACUAUACAAGCAUAGAGGUAGGUCAGAAUACUUUGAAGUAUUUGGGCUUCGUUAUUAUUGAGUUAUUUUCGGUGAUACAGCAUCCGAAUAUAAUAGGGAAGAUUAAUUUUUUCUUAGAAGAAAAUUGUUUAGAAGUUGAUUACUAGAUAUGUAAGCAUUUUGUUUAAAAUUACUCUUUCUAGCUGUAAAAUUUAAAAUUACGGCUAAUUUUAACGUAAUUUCAAUUGCUGUUGUCGAGUUGCCUUGUCUAGUUUAAAAUGCACUUAAUUAAAUUCAAAUAUAUUGAACUAAAUACCACACUUAGAAUUGCACACAAAUUAAAACUAUAAUAUACCUGUAAUUUCAUUAGAUCAAACAGCUCCAAAGUAAAUUUUUUGUUAUUUCAAAUGGAGUACGAUUAAUCUCGAAUCAAUUUGAACAUCAUUAUUAUGAUUAAAUUUUUAAGGGCUGAUUUUCGAAUUAUAGCAAGAGGAAGUCUAUUCCAGCCAAUAAUUUCCCUCAGCAUGUUGUUGGUCGACACGUCAUGAAUGUCACGUCAAGAAUUAUAUUUGUGGAAUAAGCGGCUUAUUCGUGGAAUUGAAUUUUACUGUAUAAUAGUCCGGUAACUAGUUUUUGACCCGUGUGAUGCACGUCUAAUAUAAUAAUUUAAAAUAAUAAAAGUUAUUAUGUAAUGAUAAGAGAAAAAUAUUUUAAUUAACAUUAUAUUUUUUAACAAAUAAAAAAAUAUUCUAUCAAUCUUAAUUAUAGUAUAGAAUAAAUAUCUUAAAAAGUCAAUAGUUAUUAAUUUGACCCGUGCGAUGCACGGCUAAUAUAAUAAUAUAGAAUAAUAAAAGUUAUUAUGUGUNAUAAUAAAAUAUUACUAAUUAAUUUAUUAUAUAUUAUUUUAUUAACCUAUUAGCUAGAUUAAUAAUUAGCCAACUUGAUUUAUUACUAUAAUAAAUAUUUAAUUAACUAUUUAGUAAAUUAAUUUAUUAUUCAUAAUAAUUAAUUAUCUAAUUAAAAAAUUAAUCAAUUAAUAUUCUGACCAAUAUAACUAAUUAAGUAAUUAACUAAUUAAUUUAUUAUAUUAAUAUACUAAAUUAUUAUAAUUUAUCAAAUUAUUUAUAGUUAGUUAAUAUAUUAAUUAACAAUACUCAUAGCUAAUUAAUUAAUAUCCUAAUUAAUUUAUUUUUUAAUGUUUAUGAUUAUCUAAUAGUAUUCAUGAUUAUCAAUUGAUUAAUUAAUUUGUUAAAUUAUUAUUUAAUUAAUAUUUUGAUGUUAAUUAGUUAUAUAAAAUAUUAUUAUUUUAAACCUAUAAUAACUCUUAUUCCUAUUAUUUCUAUCUAACUUUUCAAAUGCUAUUUAUUUAUUCUCGAAAAUAAUCUAAUUUUUAUCGAAACAAAAAAUUGAUCUAUUCCUGUUUAAGUAUCGCCAAAGUUAGCUCCAAAGUUAUACCUAUCUCAGAAAUAAUUAAAAAAAAUUAUUUUC
RNAcentral lists this long non-coding RNA (4743 nucleotides) under Ananas comosus (pineapple). Its description in RNAcentral is "long non-coding RNA (ACOM_LNC024797)". The record is from RNAcentral. Lineage: Eukaryota; Viridiplantae; Streptophyta; Magnoliopsida; Poales; Bromeliaceae.